Molecule: ribosomal RNA, 493 nt
Filed under: uncultured bacterium
Lineage: Bacteria
Description: partial 16S ribosomal RNA
Rfam family: Bacterial small subunit ribosomal RNA
Source: RNAcentral
GACGAACGCUGGCGGCGUGCUUAACACAUGCAAGUCGAACGGUGAAGGGACCGGUUUUUGCUGGUUCUGGAUGAGUGGCGAACGGGUGAGUAACACGUGAGUAACCUGCCCCCUUCUUCUGGAUAACCGCAUGAAAGUGUGGCUAAUACGGGAUAUUCUGCGCCUGCUGCAUGGUGGGUGUGGGAAAGAUAUUGUUUCGGUGGGGGAUGGGCUCGCGGCCUAUCAGCUUGUUGGUGGGGUGAUGGCCUACCAAGGCGGUGACGGGUAGCCGGCCUGAGAGGGUGGACGGUCACACUGGGACGGAGACACGGCCCAGACUCCUACGGGAGGCAGCAGUGGGGAAUAUUGCACAAUGGGCGGAAGCCUGAUGCAGCGACGCCGCGUGAGGGAUGGAGGCCGUCGGGUUGUAAACCUCUUUCGCCAGUGAAGCAGGCCUGUCCCUUUUGUGGGUGGGUUGACGGUAGCUGGAUAAGAAGCGCCGGCUAACUACGUG